This 420-nucleotide ribosomal RNA is filed under the name uncultured soil bacterium. RNAcentral describes it as "bacterial SSU rRNA". It matches the Rfam family "Bacterial small subunit ribosomal RNA", at positions 26 to 442 of the family's 1533-position model. The record is from RNAcentral.
AGAUUGAACGCUAGCGGGAUGCUUUACACAUGCAAGUCGAACGGCAGCGCGGACUUCGGUCUGGCGGCGAGUGGCGAACGGGUGAGUAAUAUAUCGGAACGUGCCCAGUAGCGGGGGGAUAACUACGCGAAAGCGUGGCUAAUACCGCAUACGCCCUACGGGGGAAAGGGGGGGAUUCUUCGGAACCUCUCACUAUUGGAGCGGCCGAUAUCAGAUUAGCUAGUUGGUGAGGUAAAGGCUCACCAAGGCGACGAUCUGUAGCUGGUUUGAGAGGACGACCAGCCACACUGGGACUGAGACACGGCCAGACUCUACGGGAGCAGCAGGUGGGAAUUUGGACAAGUGGGGGAACCCUGAUCCAGCCACUCCCGCGUGUCGCGAGUGAAGGUCCGUUCGGGUUGGUAAACGUACUACGUUUUU